RNAcentral lists this ribosomal RNA (742 nucleotides) under uncultured bacterium. Its description in RNAcentral is "bacterial SSU rRNA". It matches the Rfam family "Bacterial small subunit ribosomal RNA", at positions 8 to 796 of the family's 1533-position model. The record is from RNAcentral.
AGAGUUUGAUCCUGGCUCAGAACGAACGCUGGCGGCAGGCCUAACACAUGCAAGUCGAACGCGACCUUCGGGUCGAGUGGCGCACGGGUGAGUAACGCGUGGGAAUCUGCCCUGUGGUACGGAAUAACAUCGGGAAACUGGUGCUAAUACCGUAUAUCCCCUGAGGGGGAAAGAUUUAUCGCCAUAGGAGGAGCCCGCGUAGGAUUAGCUAGUUGGUGAGGUAACGGCUCACCAAGGCGACGAUCCUUAGCUGGUCUGAGAGGAUGAUCAGCCACACUGGGACUGAGACACGGCCCAGACUCCUACGGGAGGCAGCAGUGGGGAAUAUUGGACAAUGGGGGAAACCCUGAUCCAGCCAUGCCGCGUGUGUGAUGAAGGCCUUCGGGUUGUAAAGCACUUUCGCACGUGACGAUGAUGACGGUAACGUGAGAAGAAGCCCCGGCUAACUUCGUGCCAGCAGCCGCGGUAAUACGAAGGGGGCAAGCGUUGUUCGGAAUUACUGGGCGUAAAGGGCGCGUAGGCGGUGUACUAAGUUAGGCGUGAAAGCCCUGGGCUCAACCCGGGAAUUGCGCUUGAUACUGGUACGCUAGAAUCCAGGAGAGGUUGGUGGAAUUCCCAGUGUAGAGGUGAAAUUCGUAGAGAUUGGGAAGAACACCGGUGGCGAAGGCGGCCAACUGGACUGGUAUUGACGCUGAGGCGCGAAAGCGUGGGGAGCAAACAGGAUUAGAUACCCCAGUAGUCC